Molecule: long non-coding RNA, 158 nt
Organism: Amblyraja radiata (thorny skate)
Lineage: Eukaryota; Metazoa; Chordata; Chondrichthyes; Rajiformes; Rajidae
Exons: 3
Source: RefSeq, a predicted model, not a curated record
UGUUUUCAUAAGUGAUAGGAACAUAAUUAGGCUAUUUGGUCCUUCAAGUCUACUCUGCCAUUCAAUCAUGGUUGAUCUUUCUUUCCCUCUCAACCCCAUUCUCCUGUCUUCUCCUCAUAAGCCCUGACAUUCCUACUAAUCAAGAAUCUGUCAAUCUU